This 525-nucleotide ribosomal RNA is filed under the name Fredericqia deveauniensis. RNAcentral describes it as "eukaryotic LSU rRNA". It matches the Rfam family "Eukaryotic large subunit ribosomal RNA", at positions 363 to 974 of the family's 3401-position model. The record is from RNAcentral. Lineage: Eukaryota; Rhodophyta; Florideophyceae; Gigartinales; Phyllophoraceae.
GAUGACAAGCACUUUGAAAAGAGGGUGAAAAGAGCCUGAAACCGUCACGGGGGAAGCGGAUUGCGUUGGAUUGAUGGGCGCUUGUGUGUUCAGCCUUUAUGGUGCAUUGGCACAAGUGCUUAUCCGCUGUGAGUUCUCGGGGGUCGAUUUUGGAUCCCUGGGGACUGAGGGCUCCCUUUUUGGUGAGGACAGCGGAGUGACGACGCGAUACGACCCGUCUUGAAACACGGACCAAGGAGUCUAGCGCGGGUGCGAGUCAGAGGGUGCAAGCCCGUGGGCGAAGUGAAAGCGAGUGUAAAAACUAGCAGUUUGGGGCGGCAUAAGAUCGUUGAUCUCAAGACCGACCCAGAGCAGUUGCGCUGGGACCCGAAAGAUGGUGAACUAUGCCGGAGUAGGGCAAAGCCAGAGGAAACUCUGGUGGAGGCUCGUAGCGGUGCUGACGUGCAAAUCGCUCGUCGAACUUGGGUAUAGGGGCGAAAGACUAAUCGAACCAUCUAGUAGCUGGUUCCCUCCGAAGUUUCUCUC